UUUACCUGGAACUUAUUGGCAAUAGUAUGAGUCUGAACUUAUUGAAGAAAUAGUUAAAAGUGUGUUGAAGAAGUUGGAUCAUGUGCGAAUAGUUAAUUCAAAAGGACUUGAUGGAAUUGAAAAACAAAUUGCACAUGUAGAAUCAUUGUUACAAGUAGAGUCACAAGAUGUUCGUGCUAUUGGAAUUUGGGAUAAUGAUAAUGAUUUACAGUUGGAGGCUUCGAGUGAUGUGGACUUUAGGUGCGCCUUAGCGAGAGUCUCGCAAGCGUCCAAAGUUAUGACCAGCUAGGGUGUGUCUUU
This 300-nucleotide long non-coding RNA is filed under the name Medicago truncatula (barrel medic). RNAcentral describes it as "lncRNA gene45449". The record is from RNAcentral. Lineage: Eukaryota; Viridiplantae; Streptophyta; Magnoliopsida; Fabales; Fabaceae.